GUAGUCCACGCCGUAAACGAUGCAUACUCGCUGUCGGGUUCGCUACAGAACUCGGUGGCUUAGCUAACGCGGUAAGUAUGCCGCCUGGGGAUUACGGCCGCAAGGUUAAAACUCAAAGGAAUUGACGGGGACCCGCACAAGUGGUGGAGCAUGUCCAUUAAUUCGAAGAUACGCGAAGAACCUUACCUAGCCUUGACAUCCUGGUAGACUUUCCCUGAAAGGGGAGGGGCAUUUAGUUGGACCAGAGACAGGUGUUGCAUGGCUGUCGUCAGCUCGUGUCGUGAGAUGUUGGGUUAAGUCCCGCAACGAGCGCAACCCUCGACCUUAAUUGCCAGCAUUCAGUUGGGCACUUUAAGGUAACCGCCGCGGAUAACGCGGA
Molecule: ribosomal RNA, 379 nt
Filed under: uncultured bacterium
Lineage: Bacteria
Description: bacterial SSU rRNA
Rfam family: Bacterial small subunit ribosomal RNA
Source: RNAcentral